CGAACGCUGGCGGCGUGCUUAACACAUGCAAGUCGAACGCGAAAGGGACUUCGGUCCUGAGUAAAGUGGCGCACGGGUGAGUAACGCGUAGAUAACCUGUCUUCAUGUCUGGAAUAAUACGCCGAAAGGGGUACUAAUACCGGAUAUUCUUUGCUUUUCAUAAGUUAUGCAAGCAAAGGUGGCCUCUGCAUAUGCUACUGCAUGAAGAGGGGUCUGCGUACCAUUAGCUAGUAGGUGGGGUAAUGGCCUACCUAGGCGACGAUGGUUAGCGGGUCUGAGAGGAUGAUCCGCCACACUGGCACUGGAACACGGGCCAGACUCCUACGGGAGGCAGCAGUGAGGAAUAUUGCGCAAUGGGGAAACCCUGACGCAGCGACGCCGCGUGAGUGAAGGAAGGCCUUCGGGUCGUAAAGCUCUGUCAAGAGGAAAGAAGUGUACAAUGGCUAAUACCUGUUGUAUUUGACGGUACCUCUAAAGGAAGCACCGGCUAACUCCGUGCCAGCAGCGGC
RNAcentral lists this ribosomal RNA (509 nucleotides) under uncultured bacterium. Its description in RNAcentral is "bacterial SSU rRNA". It matches the Rfam family "Bacterial small subunit ribosomal RNA", at positions 30 to 518 of the family's 1533-position model. The record is from RNAcentral.